GUAGGGUGCAGGCGUUAAUCGGAAUUACUGGGCGUAAAGCGUGCGCAGGCGGCUCCUUAAGUCAGAUGUGAAAUCCCCGGGCUUAACCUGGGAACUGCGUUUGAAACUGGGGGGCUUGAGUGUGGAAGAGGGGGGUGGAAUUCCAGGUGUAGCAGUGAAAUGCGUAGAGAUCUGGAGGAACACCGAUGGCGAAGGCAGCCCCCUGGGCUAACACUGACGCUCAUGCACGAAAGCGUGGGGAGCAAACAGGAUUAGAUACCCUGGUAGUCCACGCCCUAAACGAUGUCAACUGGUUGUCGGGGAAGUUAUUCCUUGGUAACGAAGCUAACGCGUGAAGUUGACCGCCUGGGGAGUACGGCCGCAAGGUUA
RNAcentral lists this ribosomal RNA (369 nucleotides) under uncultured bacterium. RNAcentral describes it as "bacterial SSU rRNA". It matches the Rfam family "Bacterial small subunit ribosomal RNA", at positions 527 to 896 of the family's 1533-position model. The record is from RNAcentral.